RNAcentral lists this ribosomal RNA (1905 nucleotides) under Triticum aestivum (bread wheat). RNAcentral describes it as "partial small subunit ribosomal RNA". Lineage: Eukaryota; Viridiplantae; Streptophyta; Magnoliopsida; Poales; Poaceae. The record is from RNAcentral.
AUGAAGAGGGACCACCGCCACCGAGACGGUCCAUAUGCAAAAAAAUUUGGACCGCGGCCUCCUCGUGAUGUAAAAUGCAACACCUCGCGAUGCAAAUAUACAUCACGAGAUGCAUCUGGUCCAAAACUAGCCGCCGCCCGCGAACGCCCAACCGCCAUUUCAUUUCCGUUCCCGCCCGCCCGCGCCCGUUCGCCUGCCCGCGACCCUCCCGGCCGCCGCCGCCCCACACCGUCCGGCGCCGCCAUGGCCGAUGCCGACGACCCCGCCACCUUCUCCGCCGCCGCCGCAGCCGGUGGGUUGACCCACGUGGCUGCCGCCGCUGCCAUCCCGCCUGCAUCCGCGGCCAUGCCGCUGCCCCCCCGCUGCCGGCCCGGAUUGGCGCCGCCCCGGUUGGUGCCCACCACGCAGUCGGCGAAGCCGGCGAAGGGACGAGGAGGCAGCGUCAAACGGCCGGCCAACCGCAGCCGCAACCCGGCCGGUGAAGGUCUCAAAGACGGUCGCGGCGGCUCGGGGCGACGAGUCGCAGACGGUGCGGCCGGCGGCCUCCUCCAGCAGCCACACAUGCAUUCCUCCACCUCCCCCACCACCACCGCCGGCCGUGGAGGAAGAUGUGGCCACGCCGACGACCACCGCCUCCAACAUGUUCGACGAAAUGUCGCAAAGGGUUUCAUUGUCAAGGGAAGAAGUGGCAAUUAUAGCACCGCGGAGGAUGUGUUGAUAUGCACCGCUUGGAAGAAAAUCUCUCAAGAUGCAAGCGUUGGAAGCGACCAAACGGUGAGCACCUAUUGGAAACGCAUCAAGGAGUAUUUCGACGAGCGCAACACAAGUGGUAUCCUCCGUUCGAGCGACUCUCUACGCCAACGUUGGUCCACCAUCAACGCCAAAUGCUCAAAGUGGGCCGGUUGCUUGGCAAACGUUGCUCGCAUGAACCCAAGUGGUUGCGGUGAUAGUGAUUUGAAAAUGAUUGCACAAGGAUUGUUUCGGGAGAGGAACGUGAAAGGCGAGAAGAAGAAAAGGAAAGGAAAAGCUUUCACUUUUCAUCAUUGCUACAAAGAGCUCAAGGAUGUGGAGAAGUGGAAAACUAGAGAGACUUUUGAAUCGUCGAAGAAGAAGAGUGUGUUGGCCCGAUGGAACCAAGAAAGUGAAGGGAACCAAGCCGGAGACAAUGAUCUCAAAGAAGGAUUUGAUGCCAUUGUCAUGGCAAGGAAAGAGUAUGCCGAAGAGAAAAGAAUCUUGAAGCUCAAGGAAAUAGAGGAGAGGAGUGAGGCCGAGCGGCGAACGGCGGCGGCCGAGGAGAAGAGGGCGGCAUCCGAGGAGAGGAAGGUGGAACUAGAGGAGAAGAAGGCCGCGGCCGACGAGAGGAAGAUGGUAGAAGAGAGGACACUCAAGUUUAUGUUCAUGGACACAUCAACUAUUGAUGCCAAGGCAAAGGCAUAUGUUGAACUUUGUCGCGAUGAAAUGCUCAUGAAGAAGCAAAUGCUCAUGAGGCAAAUGAUGAUGGGAGGAGGCAUGGGAGGAGGCAUGGGAGAUGCCAUGGGUGGAGCCAUGGGAGGUUACAUGAACACGAUUGGAGGUGCCAUGAGUGGUGCAUUUGGCGGAAACAUGGGCGGUGGGUUCGGUGGCAACAUGGAAGGUGGCUUUGGCGGCAUGGGAGGUGGCUUUGGCGGCAUGGGAGGUGCUUUUGGCGGCAACAUGAUGGGUGGCUUGGGAGGUGGCUAUGACGGCAACAUGAGUGGUGUUGGAGGUGGAUAUGGCGGCAACAUGGGAUGCAAUGAAGAUGGUUCCGGUGGUGCUCACGGCAACGAGAGUUCACCGCUUGUUGAGAACGUCGACAAAGACGGUGAUGGAGAUGAUCAUCGUACCACGGUUCACAACACCGGUGGUGUUGAUGACCCAAAUGAGUGA